This 68-nucleotide transfer RNA is filed under the name marine eukaryotic metagenome. It matches the Rfam family "tRNA". From Rfam's summary of the family: Transfer RNA (tRNA) molecules are approximately 80 nucleotides in length. Their secondary structure includes four short double-helical elements and three loops (D, anti-codon, and T loops). Further hydrogen bonds mediate the characteristic L-shaped molecular structure. tRNAs have two regions of fundamental functional importance: the anti-codon, which is responsible for specific mRNA codon recognition, and the 3' end, to which the tRNAs corresponding amino acid is attached (by aminoacyl-tRNA synthetases). tRNAs cope with the degeneracy of the genetic code in two manners: having more than one tRNA (with a specific anti-codon) for a particular amino acid; and 'wobble' base-pairing, i.e. permitting non-standard base-pairing at the 3rd anti-codon position. The record is from RNAcentral.
CCUGUAGCUCAGCUGGAUAGAGCGACGGACUACGAAUCCGCAGGUCGGGGGUUCGAAUCCCUCCAGGC